Non-coding RNA from Microcebus murinus (gray mouse lemur), 693 nucleotides. The record is from RefSeq and is a predicted model, not a curated record. Lineage: Eukaryota; Metazoa; Chordata; Mammalia; Primates; Cheirogaleidae.
GAACCUCUGAGCUGAGUCUCAAAGCAAAGUUACUGAAGGGAGGCAAUGGGGGAGGAAGAAGAGGAGGACUUGAGGAAGACACAGUCUAAGCAGAGGCAGUGACACAUAUUAAUAUAAAGAUAUUUGCAUAUGAGAGACAAUGGCUUAUGUGGGGACUUGUAAAUUAUGGACACAGAAAAAGAAUAAUCCUUUCCAUGGUAUCCAUCUAUCAUAGAGGGCUUAUGCUGUGUGUGCCUCACCUCCUGUCAUUAGACUACUCGCUCCCAGGGGACAGAGGUCCUGCUUCUCAGAUCUUCACAUCCCACAGAGCACUUCACAGCAUGAAUACAAAAUCAAAUGAGAGGCAAGACGCAAGCUGUCAUCUGACCUUUUGACAUACUACACACCGGUCAGUAAUGAAGAGACGCUUUUAGCUCUGCAAGAAGAAUAUUCAACAGUGAGGGAUCAUGAUGUAGCUGACAUGGUAAUAUGAUCAACACAACCUCAAGAAAAUUGACUCUGAUUAAACCAGGGUUAAAGGGUUAAACUCUGAUUAAACCAGGGUCCUAUUUUCUCAAGGAUGUCAAAGAUUCUAGGUAAGGGGCCCUUCCUAAUUUUGUGCAGGAGCAGGUCAUAAAUUCUCUUGACAAGAGUACAACCAUCUCAACACUCCAGGCUCCUGUUAUCAAUCACCUCCCCUUCAACUCAAAUGCC